Molecule: non-coding RNA, 89 nt
Filed under: Pseudomonas sp. AD21
Lineage: Bacteria; Pseudomonadati; Pseudomonadota; Gammaproteobacteria; Pseudomonadales; Pseudomonadaceae
Source: RNAcentral
CCUUAUGGCGGCUAUGUGCGGGCGGACUUCGGUCCGGCCGGUUUUGGGGUUCUAUCGGUGAUCUCACUCCGUACAUGGCUGCCACCUCU